This 213-nucleotide ribosomal RNA is filed under the name Triticum aestivum (bread wheat). RNAcentral describes it as "partial small subunit ribosomal RNA". Lineage: Eukaryota; Viridiplantae; Streptophyta; Magnoliopsida; Poales; Poaceae. The record is from RNAcentral.
CGAGACGCUACAACCUCCGCCCCCUCGCUUCGCAAAGCAUUGGCAUCGAUCGUCCCUCUGGUCACUUGGGCCAUUUGGAAACACCGCAAUGCAUGCAUCUUUGAUCAUCGGCAACCCUCGAUUAGCUGCCUAUUCUCCUCCAUCCAAGAUGAUGUGCGUGCCUGGGCAAAUGCCGGCGCCAAAGGGCUACAAGCUGUAAUUGACGCGAUGUAA